GUGCUCACUACAGCAGCACACAUACUAAAAUUGGAACAAUACAGAAAAGAUUAGCAUGGCCCCUGCACAAGGAUGACAUGUAAAUUCAUGAAGCAUUCCAUUAAAAA
Cavia aperea (Brazilian guinea pig) is the source of this 107-nucleotide small nuclear RNA. Lineage: Eukaryota; Metazoa; Chordata; Mammalia; Rodentia; Caviidae. The record is from Ensembl.